This 1452-nucleotide long non-coding RNA is filed under the name Homo sapiens (human). RNAcentral describes it as "HSALNT0083580". The record is from RNAcentral. Lineage: Eukaryota; Metazoa; Chordata; Mammalia; Primates; Hominidae.
AAUAAUUAAACAAAUCUCACAGCAGUUCAGCUUCCUAACAUCUUUAUUAAUCUUUUUUCUCCUUCCCUCCUGAAAGAGUACAUUGAAAUAUUGCUUUUGCAACCUUAGAGAAGAUUCAGAAUAAGCUUAAUAAUAAAAUACUGCGUUGGCGAUGUGUGUACCUGAUGGUGUCCCGGACCCUUCCCUUCCAGGUGUUAGUGAGUGGGGGAGACUCUGAUGUGUGAGUCCUCACCAAGCUGUUGUGAUUCUCACCUGCUCUUCUAUCGAAUUUAUGGUGACCAAUUUGCCAAACACAAUAAGACUGUUCCUGUGAUUUGAUCCACGCCCUGGCUACGCCUGCACGGCCCACUCUGCUGAGCAAGGUGACUGCAGGCUGCUUGUUCUGAGGCCUGCCUUCUUUAACGUGAUUACAGCGUGCACUUUAGUACAAGUUCGACAAUUCUUUUUAAUAAGCUUCAUAAUUAGUGUUGGGAUGCCUCAUUACAAGUCAUAGCCUGUAGCGGUCCUAGGCCACACAGCCCUCUGCAAUCUGAUUUAUUUUUUAUCAGGCAGCAGGAGCUGUCUGGAGUUUUUGUUUGUAUAAUGGGGGCCUGCAUUAGGCCCCCAGUGUAAAAAUACCACCAGGAAAUUAAUUGCUUCUGUGUGGAUUCACCACAGAUGUGUCCUGUUGAUCAGAAUAGUGUAUUUUUGACUUUGCUGUCCUGCAGUGAAUUGUAAAAAAAUAAAAUGAAACCCAGCAAUGCAAACAUAUUAGCAUCCAUGUAGAUUCAGGAGGCAUCAUUGAAAACAUGGGGCUUCAAAGGAGGAUGUCCAGGGCAGGUUCGAGAUUCUGGUAAGACUUUUUUCCUUCCUUUCCCUUUUCUCACAGCUCUUAUUUGAUAAGAAACCCAUGUAUUUUUGUAUUGCCUGUAAAGGAAACCUCUCCAUGAAAAGCACAGGGCCAGAGUCUCAGUUGGUUUCUGGCUGAAAGAUUACUCACGAUAAAUACACCCCAGCAGAGUGGCUGAUUUCCCCGACACCCACCCCCGGCAUCGAGACCUCUGCAAGCUUCAGCAGACGAGGGCCUGUCUCCAGCGUGCCUCCCGGCCACCCCAGAGGGAACACAGGUGGAUGCUCGGCGGCCGGCCUUGUGGACUCUUCGAGGGUGGCGUGUGUGUGCCACAUAUUUCCCCGUCAGACCCUGGUUUCCCCUCAUUGCUCCCUGGGCUAAGACAGAAAUACAUGCCAAAGGCUUCCUUCCUUCCGUCUCUUUGCUCUUGCAUCACGCCACUUGCCCAGUUCCUGAAUUCUGAUUAGGUUGUGAAUUGCACCUCCAGCUUUGAACACUUACAGGAUUUUUUUUUUUCAAUCUUAGUCCCUGAAUUAGAAUGUGUUACUUCUGUGUUCUCUUCCCAGCACUGGACAGGUCGUUGUUGGUGCUUCCGUGUGGAUGGAUCACAUCCCGAGGGUGGA